GCAUAAUGUCACACGAUAUAGCACUGUACAAAAAUAAAUGGAUAAUAGUUAGAGAAAAUAUUGGGGUUUAUAAAUGUCUAUAAACUUUCUCUAGUGCAAAAAUUCAUUUUUAUUGCAAUUACUUCUAAUUGAGCUAGAAAUUAUGCACGCUUAUUAUUUCAUUAAGGAAUCAUUUUCUUCAUUUCUUGGCCAUUUUCUUCUUCCUUGAUUAGCAUAAUUUAAGUAAUAUAAGUUUUAUUUUUCCAUUUUGAGGAUAAGACAAUAUCAUUUUGUGUUACAUAAUAUUAAACUAUGUUUCAUGAUUUGCAUUCAAGUAGAGAUAACCUUACCAA
RNAcentral lists this unclassified non-coding RNA (332 nucleotides) under Hevea brasiliensis (rubber tree). The record is from RNAcentral. Lineage: Eukaryota; Viridiplantae; Streptophyta; Magnoliopsida; Malpighiales; Euphorbiaceae.